AUAAAUGAGAUUCACUGGUGUCUAUACCUUGGUCUCUCCAACCUCCAAGCCUCAAUGGAAGACCUUCCUGGUAAAGGAGGAAUGGUCUUCCAUUGAGGGUGUUUGAGUACACACGUUCCCUGAAAGAAACUCCAGACCAGCUCUCAAGGUCCAUUUGCAAUAAAAAGUAGAUUAAGUAAGUUUUCAUAACUGGUAGACAUAGUCAACUGUGUGGUGAUGCAUUUGGCAGUUUGCCUUUCUGG
Unclassified non-coding RNA from Cricetulus griseus (Chinese hamster), 242 nucleotides. Its record names the gene 7SK. It matches the Rfam family "7SK RNA". Rfam says of the family: 7SK was discovered as an abundant small nuclear RNA in the mid-70s but a possible function has only recently been suggested. Two independent studies have found that 7SK RNA binds the CDK9/cyclin T complex (known as elongation factor P-TEFb). The record is from Ensembl. NCBI's taxonomy places the organism in Eukaryota, Metazoa, Chordata, Mammalia, Rodentia, Cricetidae.